UAACAUAUAUCAUUUAAUUUUUGGCUCUACCACAUGAUUGUUGGAAAUAUGCCCUAGAGGCAAUAAUAAAUUGGUUAUUAUUAUAUUUCCUUGUUCAUGAUAAUCGUUUAUUAUCCAUGCUAGAAUUGUAUUGAUAGGAAACUCAGAUACAUGUGUGGAUACAUAGACAACACCAUGUCCCUAGUAAGCCUCUAGUUGACUAGCUCGUUGAUCAAUAGAUGGUUACGGUUUCCUGACCAUGGACAUUGGAUGUCGUUGAUAACGGGAUCACAUCAUUAGGAGAAUGAUGUGAUGGACAAGACCCAAUCCUCAGCCUAGCACAAAGAUCGUGUAGUUCGUAUGCUAAAGCUUUUUUAAUGUCAAGUAUCAUUUCCUUAGACCAUGAUAUUGUGCAACUCCCGGAUACCGUAGGAGUGCUUUGGGUGUGCCAAACGUCACAACAUAACUGGGUGGCUAUAAAGGUACACCACAGGUAUCUCCGAAAGUAUCUGUUGGGUUGGCACGAAUCGAGACUGGGAUUUGUCACUCCGUGUAAACAGAGAGGUAUCUCUGGGCCCACUCGGUAGGACAUCAUCAUAAUGUGCACAAUGUGAUCAAGGAGUUGAUCACGGGAUGAUGUGUUACGGAACGAGUAAAGAGACUUGCCGGUAACGAGAUUGAACAAGGUAUCGGGACACCGACGAUCGAAUCUCGGGCAAGUAUCGUACCGCUAGACAAAGGGAAUUGAAUACGACAUUGAUUGAAUCCUCGACAUCGUGGUUCAUCCGAUGAGAUCAUCAUGGAGCAUGUGGGAGCCAACAUGGGUAUCCAGCUCCCGCUGUUGGUUAUUGACCAGAGAGUUUUCUCGGUCAUGUCUGCAUGACUCCCGAACCCGUAGGGUCUACACACUUAAGGUUCGAUGACUCUAGGGUUAUAGGGAAUAGAUAUACGUGGUUACCGAAUGUUGUUCGGAGUCCCGUAUGAGAUCCCGGACGUCACGAGGAGUUCCGGAAUAGUCUGGAGGUAAAGAUUUAUAUAUGGGAAGUCCUGUUUUGGUCACCGGGAAAGUUUCGGGUGCUAUCGGUAACGUACCGGGACCACCGGGAGGGUCCCGGGGGUCCACCAGGUGGGGCUACCUGCCCCAGAGGGUUGCGUGGGCCAAGUGUGAGAGGGGACCAGCCCCAGGUGGGCUGGUGCGCCCCCCACUAGGGCCCAAGGCGAAGAGAGAAGGAAAAAGGGGGAAACCCUAGGCUCAGAUGGGCCUAAGGCCCACCUAGUGGUGCGCCCCCCUCUCUCCCCCCUUGGCCGCCCCCCUAGAAGGUAUCUAGGGCUGGCCGCCACCCCUAGGGGUGGAAACCUAGGUGUGGGCGCAGCCCCUCCCUUUCCCCUAUAUAUAGUGGGGUUUUGGGCUGCCAUACACACGAGAACAUCUCCUUCUUGGCGCAGCCCUACCCCUCUCCCUCCUCGUCUCUUGCGGUGCUUGGCGAAGCCCUGCUGCAGUACCACGCUCCUCCACCACCACCCCGCCGUCGUGCUGCUGCUGGAUGGAGUCUUCCCCAACCUCUCCUUCUCCCCUUGCUGGAUCAAGGCGUAGGAGACGUCACCGGGCUGUAUGUGUGUUGAACACGGAGGUGCCGUCCGUUCGGCACUAGGAUCAUCGGUGAUUUGGAUCACGACGAGUACGAUGCACUCUCCUUCCCCUCAUUGCUAGAUUACUCCAUAGAUUGAUCUUGGUGAUGAGUAGAAAAUUUUGAAUUUCUGCUACGAUCCCCAACAGUGGCAUCAUGAGCUAGGUCUAUGCGUAGUUUCUAUGCAUGAGUAGAACACAAGUUGUUCUGGGCGUUGAUUUUGUGAAUUUGCUUGCCAUUACUAGUCUUAUCUUGAUUCGGCGGCAUCGUGGGAUGAAGCAGCCCGGACCAACCUUACACAUACUCUUACGUGAGACUGGUUCCACCGACUGACAUGCACUAGUUGCAUAAGGUGGCUAGCGGGUGUCUGUCUCUCCCACUUUAGUCGGAUCGGAUUCGAUGAAAAGGGUCCUUAUGAAGGGUAAAUAGAAAUUGGCAUAUCACGUUGUGGUUUUCGCGUAGGUAAGAAACGUUCUUGCUAGAAACCUAUAGCAGCCACGUAAAAACUUGCAACAACAAUUAGAGGACGUCUAACUUGUUUUUGCAGCAUAUGCCUUGUGAUGUGAUAUGGCCAAAAGGAUGUGAUGAAUGAUAUAUGUGAUGUAUGAGAUUGAUCAUGUUCUUGUAAUAGGAAUCACGACUUGCAUGUCGAUGAGUAUGACAACCGGCAGGAGCCGUAAGAGUUGUCUUUAUUUAUUUAUGACCUGCGUGUCAACAUAAACGUCAUGUAAUUACUUUACUUUAUUGCUAAAGCGUUAGCCAUAGUAGUAGAAGUAAUAGAUGACGAGACAACUUCAAGAAGACACGAUGAUGGAGAUCAUGAUGAUGGAGAUCAUGGUGUCAUGCCGGUGACAACGAUGAUCAUGGAGCCCCGAAGAUGGAGAUCAAAAGGAGCAAAAUGAUAUUGGCCAUAUCAUGUCACUAUUUGAUUGCAUGUGAUGUUUAUCAUGUUUUACAUCUUAUUUGCUUAGAACGACGGUAGCUUAAAUAAUAUGAUCCCUUACUAAAAUUUCAAGAGAAGUGUUCCCCCUAACUAUGCACCGUUGCGAAGGUUCGUCGUUUCGAAGCACCACGUGAUGAUCGGGUGUGAUAGAUUCUAACGUUCGAAUACAACGGGUGUAAGCCUGAUUUACACAGCAAAAACACUUAGGUUGAAUUGACGAGCCUGGCAUGUACAGACAUGGCCUCGGAACACGGAAGACCGAAAGGUCGAGCAUGAGUCGUAUAGAAGAUACGAUCAACAUGAAGAUGUUCACCGAUGUUGACUAGUCCGUCUCACGUGAUGAUCAGACACGGCCUAGUUGACUCAGAUCAUGUUUCACUUAGAUGACUAGAGGGAUGUCUAUCUGAGUGGGAGUUCAUUAAAUGAACUCAAUUAUCAUGAACAUAGUCUAAAUUGUCUUUGCAAAUAUGUUGUAGAUAAAUAGCUCACAUUGUAGCUCCCUGUUUCAAUAUGUUCCUAGAGAAAGACCAAGUUGAAAGAUAUUGUAAGCAAUGAUGUGGACUAGGUCCGUAGUCCGAGGAGUGUCCUCACUGCUACACAGAAGGCUUACGUCUUUGAUGCACCGCUUGAUGUGUAAACCCCUACAACGUCAUCUGUGGAUGUUGUGAACACCUAACAGACACAUCCUGAUGACUACUUGAUAGUUUAGUGCACCAUACUUUACGGCUUAGAAUCGGGAUUCCAAUGACGUUUUGAACGCCACAGAACAUAUGAGAUGUUCCAAGAGCUGAAAUUGGGAUUUCAGGCUCAUGCCCAUGUUGAGAGGUGUGAGACCUCUGACAAGUUCUUUUGCCAACAAGAUGGAGGAGAAUAGCUCAGCUAGUGAGCAUGUGCUCAGAAUGUCUGGGUGCUAUAAUCACUUAAAUCAAGUGGGAGUUAAACUUCCAGAUAAGAUAGUGAUUGAUAGAGUUCUCUAGCCACUAUCACUAAGCUACUAGACCUUCGUGAUGAACUAUGACAUGCAAGGGAUGGAGUUGAUCCCGGAGCUGUUCGCGGUGUUUAAGACCGCAAAAGGUAGAAAUCAAGAAGGAGCAUCAAGUGUUGAUGGUUUAAUAAGACCACUGGUUUCAAGAAGGGUAAGGGCUAGAAGGGAAACUUCAUGGAUGGCAAACCAGUUGCCGCUCCAGUAAAGGAACCCAAGGUUGAACCCAAACCCGAGACUAAGUGCUUCUAUUGUAAAGGGGACGGUCACUGGUAGCGGAAUUACCCCAAAUGCAUGGUAGAUAAGAAGGCUGGCAACUUCAACAAAGUAUAUACGUGUUAUUAAUGUGUACCUCGCUAGUACUCCUGGUAGCACCUGGGUAUUGGAUACCGGUUCAGUUGCUAUUACUGGUGACUUGAAGCAAAAGCUACGGACUAAACGGAGACUGGCUAAGGGCGAGGUGACGAUGUGUGUUGGAAGUAUUUCCAAAGUUGAUGAGAUCACCAUCGCACGCUCCAUCUGCCUUCGGGAUUGGUAUUGAACCUAGAUAAAUGUUAUCAGGUGUCUACGUUGAGCAUGAAUAUGAUUAGAUCAUGUUCAUUGCAAUACGGUCAUUCAUUUAAGUUAGAUAAUAAUGGUUAUUCUGUUUACAUGAAUGAUACCUUUCAUGGUCAUGCACCCUAUGUGAAUGGUUCAUUGAAUCUCGGUCGUGGUAAUACACAUGUUCACGCCAAAAGAUGUAGAGUUAAUAAUGAUAGUACCACUUUCUCGUGGCACUGCCGCUUAAGUCAUAUUGGCGUAAGAUGCAUGAAGAAACUCCAUGUCGAUGGAUGUUUGGAGUCACUUGAUUUUGAAUCGCUUGACACAUGCGAGCCAUGCCUCAUGGGUAGGAUGACUAAGACCCCGUUUUCAGGUACAAUGAAACGGGCAAGUGACUUGUUGGAGAUCAUGCAUGCUGAUGCGUGUGAUCCAAUGAGAAUUGAAGCAUGCAGUGGAUAUCGCUAUUUUCUCAUCUUCACUGACGAUUUGAGUAGAUAUAGGUAUAUCUACUUAAUGAAGCACAAGUCUGAAAUGUUUGAAAAGUUCAAGCGAUUUCAGAGUGAAGUUAAGAAUCAUCAUAACAAUAAGAUCAUGUUCCUACGAUCUGAUCAAAAGGGGAUUUUCUGAGUUAUGAGUUUGGCAAUCACUUAAGACAUUGUGGAAUUGUUUCACAGUUGAAGCCACCUGGAACACCACAAGGUAAUGGUGUAUCCGGACGUCGUAAUCGAACACUAUGAGAUAUGGUGCGAUCUAUGAUGUCUCUUACCAAUCUACCAUUUUCAUUUUGUGGUUAUGCGUUAGAGACAACUGCAUUCACUUUAGAUAGGACACCAUCUAAGUCCGUUGAGACGACGUCGUAUGAACAUUGGUUUGUCAAGAAACCAAAGUUGUCGUUUCUUAAUGUUUUGGGCUGCGAUGCUUAAGGCUUCAACCAGAGAAGCUCGAACCCAAAGCAGACAAACACAUCUUCAUAGGAUACCCAAAGGUGACAGUAGGGUAUACCUUCUAUCUCAGAUCCGAGGGCAAAUUGUUUGUCACUAAGAGCGGGUCCUUUCUCGAGAAGGAGUUUCUCUCGAAAGAAUUGAGUGGGAGGAAGAUAGAACUUGAUGAGGUUGUCGAACCUUUAUUUCAACUAGAGGGUGAUGCAACACAGAAAGAUGUUUUCUGUGGAGCCUACGUCUGUUGAAUAGGAAGUUAAUGAUAGUGAUCAUGAAGCUUCGAAUCAAGUUGCUAUCGAACCUCGUAGGUCGACAAGGAUAUGUACUACUCCUAAGUGGUACGGUAAUCCUGUCUUAGAUAUCAUGUUGUUAGACAACAAUGAACCUACGAGCUAUGGAGAAACGAUGGUGGGCCCGUAUUCUAACAAAUGGUUAGAAACCAUGAAAUCCGAGAUAGGAUCCAUGUAUGGACUUUGGUGGACUUGCCCGUUGAUCGGCAAGCCAUCGAGAUAAAUGGAUCUUUGAGAAGAAGACGGACGUGGGCGGUAAUGUUACCUUCUAUGAAGCUCGACUUGUGGGAAAGAGUCUUUUCACAAGUUCAAGGAGUUGACUACGAUGAGAAUUUCUCACCCGUAGCGAUGCUUAAGUCCGUCGGAAUCAUGUUAGCAUUAGCUGUGUUUUUCGAUUAUGAAAUCUGACAAAUGGAUGUCAAAACAAGUUUUCUUACCAGUUUUCGUAAGAAAAAGUUGUAUGUGAUACAAUAAAAGGUUUUGUCGAUCCUAAGAUGCUAAAAGGCAUGCUGGCUCUAGCGAUCCUUCUAUGGACUAGAGCAAGCAUCUCAGAAUCGGAAUAUAUGCUUUGAUGGAGUGAUCAAAGCUUUUAGGUUUAUACAAUGUUUGCUAGAAACUUGUAUUUACAAGAAAGUGAGUGGGAGCACUAUACUAUUUCUGAUAAGUAUAUGUGGAGGAAAUAUUGUUGAUCUGAAAUAAUGUAGAAUUUCUGGAAAGCAUAAACGGUUGUUUGAAGAGUGAUUUUCAAAGGAAGACCUGGAUAAAGCUGCUUACAUAUUGGGCAUCAAGAUCUAUAGAAAUAGAUCAAGACGCCUGAUGAUACUUUCAAAGAAUGCACACCUUGACAUGUUUUUGAAAGAGUUCAAAAUAGAUCAGUCAAAGAAGGGGUUCUCACCUGAGUUGUAAGGUGUGAAGUUGAGUAAGACUCAAAGAUUGACCACAGCACAAGAAAGAGGAAGGACGAAGGUCAUCCCCUAUGCUCUUGUCAUAGGCUCUAUACGGUAUGCCAUGCUGAGUACCGCACCUCAUGUGUGCCUUGCCACAAGUCUGGCAAGAGGAUACAAAGGUGAUCUAGGAGUAGAUCACCAGAUAGCGGUCAAAAUUAUCCUUAGAGGAAUAAGGAAAUGUUUCUCGGUUAUGGAGGUGAUAAAGAGUUCGACAUGAAGAGUUACGUAGAUGCAAGCUUAACACCUAUCCGGAUAGCUCUGAGUAGAGAUACCGAAUACGUAUAAUGGAGCAACAAUUUGGAAUAGCUCCAAGUGGAACGUCGCAGCAGCAUCUAUGAUAUGACAUAAAGUUUUGCGAAAUACAUAGGGAUCUGAAUAUGGCAAGACCCGUUGACUACAACCUCUCUCACAAGCAUAACAUGAUCAAACCCAGAACUCUUUGAGUGUUAAUCACACAGUGACGUGAACUAGAUCAUUGAGUUUAGUAGACUCUUGGAUGUUGGUCACAUGGCGAUGUGACCUGUGAGUGUUAAUCACAUGGCGAUGUGAACUAGAUAAUUGACUCUACUGAAAGUGGGAGACUGUUGGAAAUAUGCCCUAGAGGCAAUAAUUGGUUAUUAUUAUAUUUCCUUGUUCAUGAUAAUCGUUUAUUAUCCAUGCUAGAAUUGUAUUGAUAGGAAACUCAGAUACAUGUGUGGAUACAUAGACAACACCAUGUCCCUAGUAAGCCUCUAGUUGACUAGCUCGUUGAUCAAUAGAUGGUUAGGGUUUCCUGACCAUGGACAUUGGAUGUCGUUGAUAAUGGGAUCACAUCAUUAGGAGAAUGAUGUGAUGGACAAGACCCAAUCCUAAGCCUAGCACAAAGAUCGUGUAGUUCGUAUGCUAAAGCUUUUCUAAUGUCAAGUAUCAUUUCCUUAGACCAUGAGAUUGUGCAACUCCCGGAUACCGUAGGAGUGCUUUGGGUGUGCCAAACGUCACAACGUAACUGGGUGGCUAUAAAGGUACACUACAGGUAUCUCCGAAAGUAUCUAUUGGGUUGGCACGAAUUGAGACUGGGAUUUGUCACUCCGUGUAAAUGGAGAGGUAUCUCUGGGCCCACUCGGUAGGACAUCAUCAUAAUAUGCACAAUGUGAUCAAGGAGUUGAUCACGGGAUGAUGUGUUAUGGAACGAGUAAAGAGACUUGCCGGUAACGAGAUUGAACAAGGUAUCGGGAUACCGACGAUCGAAUCUCGGGCAAGUAUCGUACCGCUAGACAAAGGGAAUUGAAUACGAGAUUGAUUGAAUCCUCGACAUCGUGGUUCAUCCGAUGAGAUCAUCGUGGAGCAUGUGGGAGCCAACAUGGGUAUCCAGAUCCCACUGUUGGUUAUUGACCGGAGAGUUGUCUCGGUCAUGUCUACAUGACUCCCGAACCCGUAGGAUCUACACACUUAAGGUUCGAUGACGCUAGGGUUAUAGGGAAUAGAUAUACGUGGUUACCGAAUGUUGUUCGGAGUCUCGGAUGAGAUCCCGGACGUCACGAGGAGUUCCGGAAUGGUCCGGAGGUAAAGAUUUAUAUAUGGGAAGUCCUGUUUUGGUCACCGGGAAAGUUUCGGGUGCUAUCGGUAACGUACCGGGACCACCGGGAGGGUCCCGGGGGUCCACCAGGUGGGGCUACCUGCCCCAGAGGGUUGCGUGGGCCAAGUGUGAGAGGGGACCAGCCCCAGGUGGGCUGGUGCGCCCCCCACCAGGGCCCAAGGCGAAGAGAGAAGGGAAAAGGGGGAAACCCUAGGCUCAGAUGGGCCUAAGGCCCACCUAGUGAUGCGCCCCCCUCUCUCCCCCUUGGCCGCCCCCCAUAGAUGGGAUCUAGGUCUGGCCGCCACCCCUAGGGGUGGAAACCUAGGUGGGGGCGCAGCCCCUCCCUUUCCCCUAUAUAUAGUGGGGUUUUGGGCUGCCAUACACACGAGAACAUCUCCUUCUUGGCGCAGCCCUACCCCUCUCCCUCCUCGUCUCUUGUGGUGCUUGGCGAAGCCCUGGUGGAGUACCACGCUCCUCCACCACCACCACGCCGCCGUGCUGCUGCUGGAUGGAGUCUUUCCCAAUCUCUCCUUCUCCCCUUGCUGGAUCAAGGCGUAGGAGACUUCACCAGGCUGUACGUGUGUUGAACACGGAGGUGCCGUCCGUUCGGCACUAGGAUCAUCGGUGAUUUGGAUCACGACGAGUACGACUCCAUCAACCGCGUUCACUUGAACGCUUCCGCUUAGCGAUCUACAAGGGUAUGUAGAUGCACUCUCCUUCCCCUCGUUGCUAGAUUACUCCAUAGAUUGAUCUUGGUGAUGCGUAGAAAAUUUUGAAUUUCUGCUACGAUCCCCAACAAUGAUUUCAUACUAAUAUCUGGUUGUAAGCAUCUUUUAAUUAAAACAUGUGUUUUUCGGUCUCCUUUGAUAUUGAUAUAAGAUUUAUUGCCAUCAGUUUACUUGGCACAAACAAAAUAGUUCUCAAUUUUUUGCACAGUAGUAUACAAUCAUGUGGCAAUCAACAAAACGAGGC
Molecule: long non-coding RNA, 8774 nt
Filed under: Triticum aestivum (bread wheat)
Lineage: Eukaryota; Viridiplantae; Streptophyta; Magnoliopsida; Poales; Poaceae
Description: long non-coding RNA (TAES_LNC020752)
Source: RNAcentral